RNAcentral lists this ribosomal RNA (500 nucleotides) under uncultured bacterium. Its description in RNAcentral is "partial 16S ribosomal RNA". It matches the Rfam family "Bacterial small subunit ribosomal RNA", at positions 30 to 523 of the family's 1533-position model. The record is from RNAcentral.
AUUGAACGCUGGCGGAAUGCUUUACACAUGCAAGUCGAACGGCAGCACGGACUUCGGUCUGGUGGCGAGUGGCGAACGGGUGAGUAAUGUAUCGGAACGUGCCCAGUCGUGGGGGAUAACGUAGUGAAAGUUACGCUAAUACCGCAUACGAUCUAUGGAUGAAAGCGGGGGAUCGCAAGACCACGCGCGAUUGGAGCGGCCGAAAUCAGAUUAGGUAGUUGGUGGGGUAAAGGCCCACCAAGCCAACGAUCUGUAGCUGGUCUGAGAGGACGACCAGCCACACUGGAACUGAGACACGGUCCAGACUCCUACGGGAGGCAGCAGUGGGGAAUUUUGGACAAUGGGCGAAAGCCUGAUCCAGCCAUUCCGCGUGCAGGAUGAAGGCCCUCGGGUUGUAAACUGCUUUUGUACAGAACGAAAAGGUUUCUACUAAUACUAGGAGCUCAUGACGGUACUGUAAGAAUAAGCACCGGCUAACUACGUGCCAGCCGCCGCCGUAA